GUACACCUCACGCUGUGCACAAGACGUGGCAGUUCAGACGCAGUUUAUUCUGCACAGGAUAAGGAUUCUACUGCAUGCAAAAAGUUAAGUAUUAUUUCAAUAACUAAUAUUGUAUUACUUGAUACCAAAGCACUAUCUAAAAGUAUCUAUAUACUAACUAGUAGAGUAUAAUGUUAUUACAAUUAUUGUUCUUCUAAUAAUAUUAAUUUAUUAUUACAAAUUUUAUUUUAAAGUUUGAAAAGUUCGUCUUCGGAACGUUUCUUUAUUACGUCGCUCGCAAAGAGGCCUCGGUUUAUACGUUUUCUGCGUUCGUUGCGUCACAACCGCUGCGUUAACCGUUACGUCACGGUUUUUGUGAAUGUCAUCUUCUCAUACUGCGUUGCAUUUGGUGUUUCUCGCGAAUAUAACGUCAUAGUUCCGUCGACGCCACGCGCCUAUGACGUUACAACGCGCUUUUCUUUACACGCGUUUUUCCGCGACGUUUUGUUUAUGCUGCCCCAUGCGCGUUUCUCGACAACGUAGGGCGCAUUGCUUAUAUAUUCUAUUCUAAUUUAAAAUAACCUAAAUUAUAUUUACGCUACGAGCGCGAACGAAGAGGCAAAGAAGACGAAAGAAAUGGUGAGUUAAUCACAAUUGGCAUUGUUACGUAUACACCUGUUUUUUCCAGGCAGCAACGGAGAUGUGACGUCACGAAGUGGUGAUGACGAGACAGAAGAACACACUUCAACAUGGUACGUGACGCCACAUAGAGGAUUGAGCGGAUCAUAAAGCACGAAGUCGAAGAAAGAAAAUAUGAUAAA
Non-coding RNA from Ciona intestinalis (vase tunicate), 800 nucleotides. Lineage: Eukaryota; Metazoa; Chordata; Ascidiacea; Phlebobranchia; Cionidae. The record is from RefSeq and is a predicted model, not a curated record.